RNAcentral lists this ribosomal RNA (510 nucleotides) under uncultured bacterium. RNAcentral's name for it is "bacterial SSU rRNA". It matches the Rfam family "Bacterial small subunit ribosomal RNA", at positions 997 to 1509 of the family's 1533-position model. The record is from RNAcentral.
UUUCCAGAGAUGGAUGGUGCCUUCGGGAACUCUGAGACAGGUGCUGCAUGGCUGUCGUCAGCUCGUGUUGUGAAAUGUUGGGUUAAGUCCCGCAACGAGCGCAACCCUUAUCCUUUGUUGCCAGCGGUUAGGCCGGGAACUCAAAGGAGACUGCCAGUGAUAAACUGGAGGAAGGUGGGAUGACGUCAAGUCAUCAUGGCCCUUACGAGUAGGGCUACACACGUGCUACAAUGGCGCAUACAAAGAGAAGCGACCUCGCGAGAGCAAGCGGACCUCAUAAAGUGCGUCGUAGUCCGGAUUGGAGUCUGCAACUCGACUCCAUGAAGUCGGAAUCGCUAGUAAUCGUGGAUCAGAAUGCCACGGUGAAUACGUUCCCGGGCCUUGUACACACCGCCCGUCACACCAUGGGAGUGGGUUGCAAAAGAAGUAGGUAGCUUAACCUUCGGGAGGGCGCUUACCACUUUGUGAUUCAUGACUGGGGUGAAGUCGUAACAAGGUAGGCGUAGAUGA